Molecule: long non-coding RNA, 581 nt
Filed under: Aquilegia coerulea
Lineage: Eukaryota; Viridiplantae; Streptophyta; Magnoliopsida; Ranunculales; Ranunculaceae
Description: long non-coding RNA (ACOE_LNC002129)
Source: RNAcentral
GGAGAAAUCCAAGGGUUUGGUACGAUUCUUUUGGGUGAAGAUAGUAAAGAUGGGCUUGGAUUAGAGCAAGACUACAGGAUAGAUAGUUUUGAUACUGAUAAUAAUGAAGUAGCCCAAUUUACAACAGUAUACCUUAGAAAUUUGCAAAACUUAGGAUUUUGUACCCAACUAGCCAAUUAUAGGUUUUUUAUUUUCAUGAAUAAUAAAACUCAUGUUCUAGUAGAAGGUUGUUGUGUUAAUCUAAACACUUUAGAACCCUUAUUGUUUGAGACAUUGGAUGGUGGACUUAGUUACUGCUUAUCUAAGAAAGGGAAACAUAUUUUGAAAGAAUUAUUGUUAGCUUACAAUUACUUGGAAAAAAUUGAGAUUCUUUUUUCAAGGGGAGAAGAUCCAACAAACGUUCUUUUCUUGAAGGGUGAUCAAAACCAUAUAUAUCCAUGAAUAAUCAAUUUCUACGAUGAUGGUUUUAGUACGUCUUUUUCACUUUUUCUUAUUUCUCCGUAUAAUUAAACUUAUUAUAUUAGAUUUGAUUUUAUCGUUUUUAAUAUUUCAGAUAAAGGUACCAACAAUUAUAAAAAGUU